RNAcentral lists this ribosomal RNA (795 nucleotides) under Loigolactobacillus coryniformis subsp. torquens. Its description in RNAcentral is "bacterial SSU rRNA". It matches the Rfam family "Bacterial small subunit ribosomal RNA", at positions 64 to 842 of the family's 1533-position model. Lineage: Bacteria; Bacillati; Bacillota; Bacilli; Lactobacillales; Lactobacillaceae. The record is from RNAcentral.
AAGCUGCUUGCAGUGGACGUUGAUUGACGUGAGUGGCGGACGGGUGAGUAACACGUGGGUAACCUACCCUUAAGUGGGGGAUAACAUUUGGAAACAGAUGCUAAUACCGCAUAACCAUUCAGACCACAUGGUCUGAAUGUAAAAGACGGCCUUUGGCUGUCACUUUUGGACGGACCCGCGGCGUAUUAGUUAGUUGGUAAGGUAACGGCUUACCAAGACAAUGAUACGUAGCCGACCUGAGAGGGUAAUCGGCCACAUUGGGACUGAGACACGGCCCAAACUCCUACGGGAGGCAGCAGUAGGGAAUCUUCCACAAUGGACGAAAGUCUGAUGGAGCAACGCCGCGUGAGUGAAGAAGGUUUUAGGAUCGUAAAACUCUGUUGUUGGAGAAGAACAGGGACUAGAGUAACUGUUAGUCCUUUGACGGUAUCCAACCAGAAAGCCACGGCUAACUACGUGCCAGCAGCCGCGGUAAUACGUAGGUGGCAAGCGUUGUCCGGAUUUAUUGGGCGUAAAGCGAGCGCAGGCGGUUUUUUAAGUCUGAUGUGAAAGCCUUCGGCUUAACCGAAGAAGUGCAUUAGAAACUGGGAAACUUGAGUGCAGAAGAGGACAGUGGAACUCCAUGUGUAGCGGUGAAAUGCGUAGAUAUAUGGAAGAACACCAGUGGCGAAGGCGGCUGUCUGGUCUGUAACUGACGCUGAGGCUCGAAAGUAUGGGGAGCGAACAGGAUUAGAUACCCUGGUAGUCCAUACCGUAAACGAUGAAUGCUAAGUGUUGGAGGGUUUCCGCCCUUCA